This is a long non-coding RNA of Quercus robur (English oak), 1361 nucleotides long. RefSeq lists it as uncharacterized. The record is from RefSeq and is a predicted model, not a curated record. Lineage: Eukaryota; Viridiplantae; Streptophyta; Magnoliopsida; Fagales; Fagaceae. The transcript has 6 exons.
UUUUUUUUAAAUCUAGAAUUAUUGUUUAUUAAUAUAAUUACUCUUACUUAUCACAAAAAUGGCUGAAUUGUUAUUUACCGCCAUUUAAGUUGACUUUCUUGACCAAUGGAAAUGCGAGUUUAAACAUGAAAUUGAGUCUUGAUGAUUAGAUAAUUGACUCUUAAUAUUUAACAGUGGCUAUACUCGCAUCUUUGUUAUUAGGUGAGUCCAUUGGGUUUGUUAAAGGCAUGGGGCUUGUACUUGGUGUCAUAGGGCUUUUACUCCUUAAGAGGUUCCUUUGGGAAGCUUGGCAAGAUUUAAACCUUAUCAUCUUGAUCAUAGUUGCUUUAUUGUCAUUGGCACUUGGAAUUAAAAAUGAGGUUCUAGGCUGUUGUGAUUUAUAUUUCAUAUCAUGUGGAGUAUGGCCGUGUCUCUAAACAAAGAAAAGUCUCUAGCAAGUACACCUUCAUAGACAAUACAUACAGGAAACUUGUGCAACCUAUGGUAUCUCCAACAUCUACACAUUUAACAACAAGAAUUAAAGCUCACUACAACUAGGAGAUUGGAAGCUUGAUUUUUGACAAAGCUGAUCAAUUAGCUAAGGAGUUUUUUACUGCUGCUGCAAAUAUAAGCAUGUCUUCUUUUGGAAUCUCUUUGCACAGCUUUUUUGAAGCCAAAGGAUGUUUAUAGGAUGGCAUAUUGUCUUAGAGAAUCCAACAAGGAAGAUGUUGUUGAUGCCAGUAGAACCUUGAGAAGGUGUGAAGUUGGUGAUGAUCUUGACGAAGGCAUGUAGCAAAUUAUGCAACAAACCUUGAGAAUGUAUGUUUUCUUUCUUUGUGUUUAGUACUUCUUGUCAUUUUGUUCUCAAUGUAGGCUUUUUCCCUUUGAGAUUGGUGUUGAUUGAACUUCCUUCUCCAGUUACUAGUGGGACUAUGGUUACUGUUGAAGAUCUAAAACAAGAACUCUCCAAAUACCUUUUAGUGUGUGUUUGGUAAAAUUAUUUUUGCCAACUUAUUUUACUAUUCAGCUUAUUUUUGCCACUAUUCAUGAAUCUCACUACACUUUUUUGUACUAUUACUAUUUCAGCUAACUUUUAUCUUUAUUUACAGUAUUUUCAGCAAAAAGUUUUUAAUUUCAACAAAAUAAGCGGAUCCCAAACAAACCCGUAGUGUACAAGGAUUGGCUAUUGUAAAUACUUUUUAAGUGUACUAUUCAAAAAAGGUUUUGUAUAGCAUGUAGUGAUUCCUGUUUCAAAUUUAAAAAUGUAAAGGGCAAUAGACAGACUAGUUGAUUUAUGUUGAUUUGUAUAGUUUUUUUCAUUAUGUUAAAAGAUUAGUUGAUUGGUUGUUGUAAUUUAAUUUGGAAUUGCACAAUUGAGUUUA